Chelonia mydas (Green sea turtle) is the source of this 772-nucleotide long non-coding RNA. RefSeq lists it as uncharacterized. The record is from RefSeq and is a predicted model, not a curated record. The transcript has 4 exons. Lineage: Eukaryota; Metazoa; Chordata; Testudines; Cheloniidae.
UCUUCCCCACAGAAGCCUGGAUUCUAAGAGUGUCUUUUCCGUACUGGCCUAGUGAGAUCCUCCCAGAUGUGACAUGUUCUUGUUUGCUGCUUCACUUGGGGAGGUAAGAUGGAUAUAGCAUUUCCUGUAUCUCAGCAUGGAAUGAAGACAGCAUAGUGGAAGCUGAAAGGGAAAUGGAAGCUGCCAGAUGUAAUGGGCCGAUUAACCUGCAACAUUCAAUGUGGGAUUUAUGCAUAAGCAGAAAAAAAGGGGUUUAUGUGAACUUUGUGACUUGGCCAGAGGCCCAAGUGAUCGAAGACCCAGGAAGGUUGGUCAGCAGCCCGCAGAGGGUGCUGGGGCAAGAAAGACUGCAGUACCACACCCAGCUGCUAGGAGGUGUACAAGAGGUGAGUGCCCUUAUUACAUGGAUAAUUACAGCAUCCCUGUGAUGUCUGUUUACCCUUUUCUUACUGAUAUGUACUUUCAACCUUAACUUCAUGUUAAUAGUUUCUUUUCUUUUCUUUUCUUUUUUUUUGGUCUUGGAAUUUCCUUUCUUUUUAAAGUAACUUCAUAUUUGAACACUAAACAAGAAACACACAGUGGAUGCUACCAAACAUCAUUUCUAAUGAUUUGAAGCUAUGUAAUAUCAACUGUGAGUCAUUAAAAAACCUUUCAAGGGUAUAUUCAAAGUGCAAAGAUGUAAAGUGUCCAGUGUAUACUAGGCAGUUAAUCUGGGUUUUCAGAUGCUUUGUGUUGCCAGAACAGUGGAAAACUUCCAAAGUAUUCUGGUGAA